CAGUCGCCACGGGAAAACGAGGGGUGCAAGCGUUGUUCGGAAUUAUUGGGCGUAAAGGGUGCGUAGGCGGUUUGGCAAGUUUGGUGUGAAAUCUUCGGGCUCAACUCGAAGUCUGCAUCGAAAACUGCCGGGCUUGAGUAUGGGAGAGGUGAGUGGAAUUUCCGGUGUAGCGGUGAAAUGCGUAGAUAUCGGAAGGAACACCUGUGGCGAAAGCGGCUCACUGGACCAUAACUGACGCUGAUGCACGAAAGCUAGGGGAGCAAACAGGAUUAGAUACCCGCGUAGUCCCUGUCUCUUAUAA
Molecule: ribosomal RNA, 301 nt
Filed under: uncultured bacterium
Lineage: Bacteria
Description: partial 16S ribosomal RNA
Rfam family: Bacterial small subunit ribosomal RNA
Source: RNAcentral